Molecule: long non-coding RNA, 1991 nt
Filed under: Triticum aestivum (bread wheat)
Lineage: Eukaryota; Viridiplantae; Streptophyta; Magnoliopsida; Poales; Poaceae
Description: long non-coding RNA (TAES_LNC001764)
Source: RNAcentral
CAAUACCUUACACUGAGGGAACUUGAUGAAAAAAACUUCUAUACAUGUAAAUUCAGAAAAAUGCUCUAUACAUGUUCACAUUAAUGUCCGAAACAUUGUGGGGACGAAAUUUGAAUUUUUUUUCCAAGGAACAUCAUCAAAACCUCAAAAGAAAACAAAUGGAUAAAUGAUACAUAUCUUGGAUAUGCUCGCUAUGAACCUGUAGAAGCAAGUAAAAAGACUUGAGUUAAAUAAAAAAUACAAUAAUUAUUCAUGAGCCGGUCGGUCGCUUCUUAGAAAAAUUACCCAAAGAUGCAAAAAUCUAUAAGGAGAAGGAAUUUCCAUUCACUUUCUCACCUUGAAGCCACGACUCCGACCAGGAAAAAUCUGAUCCCAAGGAUACACAGGCAGUCCAGCUUGGCACCUGCUUACUACCUUAAUCCAUGUACAUGUGUACCGACGCCGCGCCUGGGACUUUCAAAAUAAGUAUUCAAAGGGUGAUAAAAUAUUAACACCUUCCAUUCACAUUUUUUAAGUGAAACGUAUUCAUCAAAGAGAAAUUACUGGAAACUUGUAUACGGGUUUCUGCAAUUCUAGACAUAUGGAUGACGUAUUCUGUCUCUAUGCUUACAUCCUUUUUGAUGUAAAAUGGAGAACUAAUACUGAUGGAACUUAUAAAGAUGAAAUAUACCCUUCUCAAGCUACAUUUCAUGGGUUAAUACUACAAUAAAAAUUAGGAAAAAUACAACAGGCUUAGACUGAUUAUGUGGAAUGGGACCAAUAUUUCCAGCAGUAAGACGGAAUGAUGGUUCAGAUAUAUACUGACCGCAACUAAGGGAACACAUACACACACCCAAAAGAAUGUCUACUGUACAAACAUUUGUGCACAGCAAUAGCUUUUUACAUUAGACAAAUAAUGGAAAACACAAUAGAGCUGGUAUGAGAAUCAUAUGUUAUCAUAUCAUGUAGUCCUUAUGGAAUUUAUGAUAUAAGCUGAACAUACCAUUUUCUGCAUAUGAAGAAUCACAAAAAUAGAAGAGAAAUAACACUACCUUGCAGACCUGAUUAGACGUUGAAAGGUAACCGUAAUUGAUAUUGAUAACCCAAUCUUCAAAUGAGCAUGUCUAAUAGCAUACAGGAUGGAAGAAUGCAUCAAAAUAUGAAUUCAUAUCAAUGCAAAAGGGACCACAAAAUAACACAAAAUCAGGAACGAACCAACCAUACUUUUUAAAUUAUUUGUACUUGGAAAAGAUAUAGCUAAUACAAACUACAUAACCCAAAGCAGCAUUAGAAACUGCAGAAGGUAAAAAUAGCAACAAUCUAUUAGUAGCAGCAUCAUUAUCUCUAGUACUUUGUUCCAUAUGUUGCAGCAGCACUGUCCUAAUUCACCCAAGCAGCAACAUACAAAUCGGAGCAGCAAUAACAUACAACUCAGAGCAGCAAAUAAUUAGUAGUAAUCCAUAUCCCAACAGUGGCCUCUCUCAUCUCUGAAUCUCUCUAAAUCCCUCACAUAGCGGCAUGGAAGUGGUAGCACAUAACACAAAACAGUAGCGGCACACACACAACACCAUCACCAGGAUGUUUGUCCAAAAUGCCUUUCAAAUUCAUUUCAAACAUUCUUGAAUCAAUUGACCAUGCUUUGUUGAAACAAUCAACUCGCCGGUCUUUCAUUCUAAACAUUUAGCAAACAAGAGUCUGUGAGCUAAUUGUAGUUUUGUUGCCUCAGAAUUGUGUGGAUACGUGUGUUACAUUACAUCUACCAAACUAAUCAAAUUGCUACUCAUCGAUUCCUCACUACUCAAAGUAUCUUGCUCUCACCAUAUUUUCAAGUUAUAGCAAAAAUGAAGCCACUCUCCUCUGGAGACAGUGGGUGGUUUCAAUUCCUCACCUUGGAGCUGUUCCUGACCAGCAUCUCAUUGGGGUUCUGCUGCUGGAACACACUCGACAGCCAUACCCACUGCAGCGUGACUCCUCUAACUCCAACUGCAACCGUUGUAUCCUCUGCAGCAGUU